AGUGAACGCUGGCGGUAGGCCUAACACGUGCAAGUCGAACGGCAGCACAGUAAGAGCUUGCUCUUACGGGUGGCGAGUGGCGGACGGGUGAGGAAUACAUCGGAAUCUACUUUUUCGUGGGGGAUAACGUAGGGAAACUUACGCUAAUACCGCAUACGACCUACGGGUGAAAGCAGGGGAUCUUCGGACCUUGCGCGAUUGAAUGAGCCGAUGUCGGAUUAGCUAGUUGGCGGGGUAAAGGCCCACCAAGGCGACGAUCCGUAGCUGGUCUGAGAGGAUGAUCAGCCACACUGGAACUGAGACACGGUCCAGACCCCUACGGGAGGCAGCAGUGGGGAAUAUUGGACAAUGGGCGCAAGCCUGAUCCAGCCAUACCGCGUGGGUGAAGAAGGCCUUCGGGUUGUAAAGCCCUUUUGUUGGGAAAGAAAAGCAGCAGGUUAAUACCCCGCUGUUCUGACGGUACCCAAAGAAUAAGCACCGGCUAACUUCGUG
This 492-nucleotide ribosomal RNA is filed under the name uncultured bacterium. RNAcentral describes it as "partial 16S ribosomal RNA". It matches the Rfam family "Bacterial small subunit ribosomal RNA", at positions 29 to 507 of the family's 1533-position model. The record is from RNAcentral.